CGUAGGUGGCAAGCGUUGUCCGGAUUUACGUGGGCGUAAAGAGCGCGCAGGCGGUCGUUCAAGUCGAGUGUGAAAGCCCCCGGCUCAACUGGGAGGGUCACUCGAUACUGAUCGACUCGAAGGCAGGAGAGGGAAGUGGAAUUCCCGGUGUAGUGGUGAAAUGCGUAGAUAUCGGGAGGAACACCAGUGGCGAAGGCGACUUCCUGGCCUGUUCUUGACGCUGAGGCGCGAAAGCUAGGGGAGCAAACGGGAUUAGAUACCCCGGUAGUCCUAGCCGUAAACGAUGGACACUAGGUGUUGGUGGUAUCAACCCCGCCAGUGCCGAAGCUAACGCAUUAAGUGUCCCGCCUGGGGAGUACGGCCGCAAGGCU
This 371-nucleotide ribosomal RNA is filed under the name uncultured organism. RNAcentral describes it as "bacterial SSU rRNA". It matches the Rfam family "Bacterial small subunit ribosomal RNA", at positions 526 to 895 of the family's 1533-position model. The record is from RNAcentral.